AGAACUCAGAUACAGCCCUUUAAAAGAGCAAUUGUGCACAGUUUGUAAUCCUCUGUUGUGAGUGUUGAAGGUCUAUCUCAGAUGCCCAGUGACCUUACAGAAGACCAUACACAUACAGGUAUGCAGAUACAGGAUGCUAUAAAUAAGCCCCACUUGGGGAGUGCUCAGGUGAGCACACUGACAAAAUGGAAAGUCUACCUCCUACGUUGUGGCAUCUUUGACAACGGCUCUUUAAAAACAGAGAUGCAUGAAAUUUUAGGAUUGGCCUCCUAUGUGAAAGAGCAGCAUGCCCUGUUUCCUGUUGAUCCUCCUGAGGUGGCUCCUUCCAUGCCCACCAUUGAUGCACAAGGAAAUACACCUGACUCUGCAUUGAUUGGCACAUGGGCAAUCUGCUACCUGGACAGCUGUGACCGUCCAGCCCAAUACUGACACCAUCUAGUAGUAAGACAUCUGGACUCCCUGCCACAAAUGUAAGGGGUGGAAUGUGGCAACCUGUGGCCUGAGCAAAACGGGCCUGCAGAUCUUCGGUGCACAGCAGUCUGCAUGACCUAGACAGUUUCUCUUUCACUGCGGAUGGGGAAGGCUUCUACUCACCCUGAAGAUGUGUCAACUAACACUAGAAGAUAGUGGAAAUUUCUAGCUGCUCAAGACAUCACUGUAAAGUUUAUUUGCCAGUCUUCUCCAGGAACAUCCCAGAAAGGGGCUGCAGUGCUACAGCUAUCCACUUUUGAGUGGUGCUUGCAUAUCAUGCAGAACCAUUCUGUAAACCAGGCCUGAGUUUUCCCUUCCUCAGUCAACAGAUUGCAAAGAACUCCCCAAGAGGCCAGAGCUGUGGGCUGGGAAAGAGAAGGUUUUUGAACUUCUAGAACGCAAGAACCAUAUCUUUCAUCUUUGUAUUCUCAAUGCCUAUUACAAUGACUGGACAUAACUGC
This is a long non-coding RNA of Choloepus didactylus (southern two-toed sloth), 932 nucleotides long. RefSeq lists it as uncharacterized. The record is from RefSeq and is a predicted model, not a curated record. NCBI's taxonomy places the organism in Eukaryota, Metazoa, Chordata, Mammalia, Pilosa, Megalonychidae. The transcript has 5 exons.